GAUGAACGCUAGCGACAGGCUUAACACAUGCAAGUCGAGGGGGCAGGCGGGGGUAGCAAUACCCGCCGGCGACCGGCGCACGGGGUGAGUAACGCGUAUGCAACUUACCUAUCAGAGGGGGAUAACCCCGGCGAAAGUCGGACUAAUACCGCAUGAAGCAGGGAUCCCGCAUGGGAAUAUUUGCUAAAGAUUCAUCGCUGAUAGAUAGGCAUGCGUUCCAUUAGGCA
RNAcentral lists this ribosomal RNA (227 nucleotides) under uncultured bacterium. Its description in RNAcentral is "partial 16S ribosomal RNA". It matches the Rfam family "Bacterial small subunit ribosomal RNA", at positions 28 to 247 of the family's 1533-position model. The record is from RNAcentral.